GCCGGCCUUAGCUCAGUUGGUAGAGCAUCUGAUUUUGUAAUCAGAGGGUCGCGGUGUUCAAGUCAAUGUAGCCGGCA
This 77-nucleotide transfer RNA is filed under the name Streptococcus pneumoniae B1598. RNAcentral's name for it is "tRNA-OTHER". It matches the Rfam family "tRNA". From Rfam's summary of the family: Transfer RNA (tRNA) molecules are approximately 80 nucleotides in length. Their secondary structure includes four short double-helical elements and three loops (D, anti-codon, and T loops). The record is from RNAcentral. Lineage: Bacteria; Bacillati; Bacillota; Bacilli; Lactobacillales; Streptococcaceae.